ACAGAGGGGGCGAGCGUUAUUCGGAAUUAUUGGGCGUAAAGGGCGCGUAGGCGGCUUGACAAGUCCAAGGUGAAAUCCCUCGGCUCAACCGAGGAACUGCCUUGGAAACUGUCUGGCUCGAGGCCGGGAGAGGGUAGUGGAAUUCCCAGUGUAGCGGUGAAAUGCGUAGAUAUCUGGAGGAAUACCGGUGGCGAAGGCGGCAUCCUGGACCAUUACUGACGCUGAGGCGCGAAAGCUAGGGGAGCAAACGGGA
Molecule: ribosomal RNA, 253 nt
Filed under: uncultured prokaryote
Description: partial 16S ribosomal RNA
Rfam family: Bacterial small subunit ribosomal RNA
Source: RNAcentral